UUCGGAUCGCAGUCUGCAACUCGACUGCGUGAAGGUGGAGUCGCUAGUAAUCGCGGAUCAGCAACGCCGCGGUGAAUGCGUUCCCGGGCCUUGUACACACCGCCCGUCAAGUCAUGAAAGUGGGCAGCACCCGAAGACGGUGGCCUAACCCUUGUGGGGGGAGCCGUCUAAGGUGAGGCUCGUGAUUGGGACUAAGUCGUAACAAGGUAUC
RNAcentral lists this ribosomal RNA (211 nucleotides) under uncultured bacterium. Its description in RNAcentral is "partial 16S ribosomal RNA". It matches the Rfam family "Bacterial small subunit ribosomal RNA", at positions 1292 to 1500 of the family's 1533-position model. The record is from RNAcentral.